CCUACGGGAGGCAGCAGUAGGGAAUAUUUCACAAUGGGGGAAACCCUGAAGCAGCAACGCCGCGUGGAGGAUGAAGGUUUUCGGAUUGUAAACUCCUUUUGUUAGAGAGGAUAAUGACGGUAUCUUACGAAUAAGCACCGGCUAACUCCGUGCCAGCAGCCGCGGUCAUACGGAGGGUGCGAGCGUUACCCGGAAUCACUGGGUGUAAAGAGUGCGGUGGGGGGAAAGCAAUAGAGCUGGUAAAUCCUAUGGGUUAACCAUAGGACUAUAUUUGAAACUGUUAUACUAGAGUAUGGGAGAGGUAGCUGGAAUUCUUGGUGUAGGGGUAAAAUCCGUAGAGAUCAAGAGGAAGACUCAUUGCGAAGGCGACCUGCUAGAACGUAACUGACGCUGAUGCGCGAAAGCGUAGGGAGCAAACAGGAUUAGAUACCCGAGUAGUC
This 440-nucleotide ribosomal RNA is filed under the name uncultured bacterium. RNAcentral describes it as "partial 16S ribosomal RNA". It matches the Rfam family "Bacterial small subunit ribosomal RNA", at positions 338 to 795 of the family's 1533-position model. The record is from RNAcentral.